UCUAUACAUGCAGUCGAGCGGACAGAUGGGAGCUUGCUCCCUGAUGUUAGCGGCGGACGGGUGAGUAACACGUGGGUAACCUGCCUGUAAGACUGGGAUAACUCCGGGAAACCGGGGCUAAUACCGGAUGGUUGUUUGAACCGCAUGGUUCAAACAUAAAAGGUGGCUUCGGCUACCACUUACAGAUGGACCCGCGGCGCAUUAGCUAGUUGGUGAGGUAACGGCUCACCAAGGCAACGAUGCGUAGCCGACCUGAGAGGGUGAUCGGCCACACUGGGACUGAGACACGGCCCAGACUCCUACGGGAGGCAGCAGUAGGGAAUCUUCCGCAAUGGACGAAAGUCUGACGGAGCAACGCCGCGUGAGUGAUGAAGGUUUUCGGAUCGUAAAGCUCUGUUGUUAGGGAAGAACAAGUACCGUUCGAAUAGGGCGGUACCUUGACGGUACCUAACCAAGAAAGCCACGGCUAACUACGUGCCAGCAGCCGCGGUAAUACGUAGGUGGCAAGCGUUGUCCGGAAUUAUUGGGCGUAAAGGGCUCGCAGGCGGUUUCUUAAGUCUGAUGUGAAAGCCCCCGGCUCAACCGGGGAGGGUCAUUGGAAACUGGGGAACUUGAGUGCAGAAGAGGAGAGUGGAAUUUCCACGUGUAAGCGGUGAAAUGCGUAGAGAUGUGGAGGAACACCAGUGGCGAAGGCGACUCUCUGGUCUGUAACUGACGCUGAGGAGCGAAAGCGUGGGGAGCGAACAGGAUUAGAUACCCUGGGUAGUCCACGCCGUAAACGAUGAGUGCUAAGUGUUUAGGGGGUUUCCGCCCCUUUAGUGCUGCAGCUAACGCAUUAGGCACUCCGCCUGGGGAGUACGGUCGCAAGAGUGAAUCUCAAAGGAAUUGUCGGGGGCCCGCAGAAACGGUGGAGCAUGUAGUUUAAUUCAAAGCAACUGCGAAGAACCUUACCAGGUCUUGACAUCCUCUGACAAUCCUAGAGAUAGGACGUCCCCUUCGGGGGCAGAGUGACAGGUGGUGCAUGGUUGUCGUCAGCUCGUGUCGUGAGAUGUUGGGUUAAGUCCCGCAACGAGCGCAACCCUUGAUCUUAGUUGCCAGCAUUCAGUUGGGCACUUUAAGGUGACUGCCGGUGACAAACCGGAGGAAGGUGGGGAUGACGUCAAAUCAUCAUGCCCCUUAUGACCUGGGCUACACACGUGCUACAAUGGACAGAACAAAGGGCAGCGAAACCGCGAGGUUAAGCCAAUCCCACAAAUCUGUUCUCAGUUCGGAUCGCAGUUUGCAACUCGACUGCGUGAAGCUGGAAUCGCUAGUAAUCGCGGAUCAGCAUGCCGCGGUGAAUACGUUCCCGGGCCUUGUACACACCGCCCGUCACACCACGAGAGUUUGUAACACCCGAAGUCGGUGAGGUAACCUUUUAGGAGCCAGCCGCCGAACGGU
RNAcentral lists this ribosomal RNA (1440 nucleotides) under Bacillus tequilensis. Its description in RNAcentral is "bacterial SSU rRNA". It matches the Rfam family "Bacterial small subunit ribosomal RNA". Lineage: Bacteria; Bacillati; Bacillota; Bacilli; Caryophanales; Bacillaceae. The record is from RNAcentral.